This 29-nucleotide small RNA is filed under the name Bombyx mori (domestic silkworm). RNAcentral describes it as "ovarian small RNA-13713". Lineage: Eukaryota; Metazoa; Arthropoda; Insecta; Lepidoptera; Bombycidae. The record is from RNAcentral.
CCCGUGUGAUGCCGUCGCUGCCCGGAUAC